Long non-coding RNA from Chelonia mydas (Green sea turtle), 972 nucleotides. RefSeq lists it as uncharacterized. Lineage: Eukaryota; Metazoa; Chordata; Testudines; Cheloniidae. The transcript is spliced from 2 exons. The record is from RefSeq and is a predicted model, not a curated record.
AAACACUAAUUGCAGAUGAAGACCAGCUGCAGAGAGGAGAGGGGAUUGGUUUAUAAAAAAGAGGAAGUCUACAGUAGCAGGAGGCUGUAGGCAGAAGGUCUGUACUUAUUCUCUAGAAACAAAAAGCUCUAUGGGAAGGAUAAGCCCUGGAAGAAUGGUCAACCCUACAGGAGUUAUGGAGGAAGAAAGUUUGAGAAGGUAGGAUAGGAAGAAGCCCUGGGAAACGGCAAUAAGGAAGGGAACUGUGAAGAUCUUGGCUGCUGGGUUUUGUGUCCCUGGGUUAGAACCCAGGGUAGAGGGAGUGUCUGGGGUUCUCUACCAGCCACUGGAAAGUAGUACAGGAGUGCUGGACAAGGUGGGGCCUCUAAUGAGUUUCUGACACCCCAGAAGGUGGACUAUACAGUGACCCAGCUGGUGGGCUGAAUCAUGAAGGAAGAGCAUUGUGAAUUAUGGGAAGAGAGACCAUCACAGAAACAGAGUGACCAUCGGCAGGGGACACCAAAGGAGACAUGAGCUGCUAUAUCAUGCCUGGCCAGGAAGAGGCACUUUUGCAGCUCUAGCAGCAGAGGAUGCAGCUGAAUGGUGAAGAUUCUCCAGUCUCUCCCACCCCCAGAUGGAAGUGCUGACAUCAAAGUCUGCUCCAGACUUCCCAUGGACCAAGUCCUUAGCCCAGAGUUCCACAGUGUCCAGCUGAAGUAUUUGGACUGGACAAUAGUCACAAGAUUUAUUUGUGUGUGUGGAGAUGCAUUUAAUUAUCUCUGGAUACUGUGCUUGUGUUUCUAGGAAGCAUUAUAAUCUCUGCCUUGUCUGUAACUAUUGUAUGUAACUCAUCUGUUAUGUUAGUUUGUAGCCAAAGAGGAAUAUUGUGGGUUUUUUGUUUAUUUUUUAUUUCUUGAAAUUCUGUUUAGUGAGUAGGCAAUAGUGCUAGAUUGCAGUGGUCACCGUUAAAAAAUAAACAUUUAUUUCAGAUUA